UACGUAGGGUGCGAGCGUUGUCCGGAAUUACUGGGCGUAAAGAGCUCGUAGGUGGUUUGUCGCGUUGUCCGUGAAAACUCACAGCUUAACUGUGGGCGUGCGGGCGAUACGGGCAGACUGGAGUACUGCAGGGGAGACUGGAAUUCCUGGUGUAGCGGUGGAAUGCGCAGAUAUCAGGAGGAACAUCGGUGGCGAAGGCGGGUCUCUGGGCAGUAACUGACGCUGAGGAGCGAAAGCGUGGGGAGCGAACAGG
RNAcentral lists this ribosomal RNA (253 nucleotides) under uncultured bacterium. RNAcentral's name for it is "partial 16S ribosomal RNA". It matches the Rfam family "Bacterial small subunit ribosomal RNA", at positions 524 to 776 of the family's 1533-position model. The record is from RNAcentral.